UGGGGAAUAUUGGACAAUGGGCGAAAGCCUGAUCCAGCCAUGCCGCGUGUGUGAAGAAGGUCUUCGGAUUGUAAAGCACUUUAAGUUGGGAGGAAGGGCAGUAAGCGAAUACCUUGCUGUUUUGACGUUACCGACAGAAUAAGCACCGGCUAACUCUGUGCCAGCAGCCGCGGUAAUACAGAGGGUGCAAGCGUUAAUCGGAAUUACUGGGCGUAAAGCGCGCGUAGGUGGUUCGUUAAGUUGAAUGUGAAAGCCCCGGGCUCAACCUGAGAACUGCAUCCAAAACUGGCGAGCUAGAGUAGGGCAGAGGGUGGUGGAAUUUCCUGUGUAGCGGUGAAAUGCGUAGCUAUAGGAAGGAACACCAGUGGCGAAGGCGACCACCUGGGCUCAUACUGACACUGAGGUGCGAAAGCGUGGGGAGCAAACAGG
Molecule: ribosomal RNA, 429 nt
Filed under: Pseudomonadota bacterium
Lineage: Bacteria; Pseudomonadati; Pseudomonadota
Description: Proteobacteria bacterium partial 16S ribosomal RNA
Rfam family: Bacterial small subunit ribosomal RNA
Source: RNAcentral